RNAcentral lists this ribosomal RNA (468 nucleotides) under uncultured bacterium. Its description in RNAcentral is "partial 16S ribosomal RNA". It matches the Rfam family "Bacterial small subunit ribosomal RNA", at positions 28 to 507 of the family's 1533-position model. The record is from RNAcentral.
GACGAACGCUGGCGGCGUGCUUAACACAUGCAAGUCGAACGGAAAGACCCUGCUUUUGUGGGGUGCUCGAGUGGCGAACGGGUGAGUAACACGUGAGUAACCUGCCCUUGACUUUGGGAUAACUUCAGGAAACUGGGGCUACUACCGGAUAGGAGCUCCUGCUGCAUGGUGGGGGUUGGAAAGUUUCGGCGGUUGGGGAUGGACUCGCGGCUUAUCAGCUUGUUGGUGGGGUAGUGGCUUACCAAGGCUUUGACGGGUAGCCGGCCUGAGAGGGUGACCGGCCACAUGGGGACUGAGAGACGGCGCAGACUCCUACGGGAGGCAGCAGUGGGGAAUAUUGCACAAUGGGCGGAAGCCUGAGGCAGCAGCGCCGCGUGCGGGAUGACGGCCUUCGGGUUGUAAACCGCUUUCGCCUGUGACGAAGCGUGAGUGACGGUAAUGGGUAAAGAAGCACCGGCUAACUACGUG